Molecule: microRNA precursor, 193 nt
Organism: Oryza sativa Japonica Group (Japanese rice)
Lineage: Eukaryota; Viridiplantae; Streptophyta; Magnoliopsida; Poales; Poaceae
Rfam family: MIR812 microRNA precursor family
Source: Rfam
UUAAAGUACAUACAUUAUAUUCUAUGUCCAACUGUAAUCGUCAUCUUAUUUGAACAUUUUUUAUGACUAGUAUUUUUAUUAUUAGAUGAUAAAAUAUAAAUAGUACUUUAUGCGUGACUUAUGUUUUUUAUAAAAAAAAUUAAAUAAGAUGAAAGAUUAAAAUUAGACACGGAAACUCAUAGUUGCGCUUAAA